RNAcentral lists this ribosomal RNA (434 nucleotides) under uncultured bacterium. RNAcentral describes it as "partial 16S ribosomal RNA". It matches the Rfam family "Bacterial small subunit ribosomal RNA", at positions 29 to 507 of the family's 1533-position model. The record is from RNAcentral.
AGCGAACUCUGGCGGCAGGCCUAACACAUGCAAGUCGAACGAACCUUUCGGGGUUAGUGGCGGAAGGGUGAGUAACACGUGGGAACGUGCCUUUAGGUUCGGAAUAACUCAGGGAAACUUGUGCUAAUACCGAAUGUGCCCUUCGGGGGAAAGAUUUAUCGCCUUUAGAGCGGCCCGCGUCUGAUUAGCUAGUUGGUUGAGGUAAUGGCUCACCAAGGCGACGAUCAGUAGCUGGUCUGAGAGGAUGAUCAGCCACAUUGGGACUGAGACACGGCCCAAACUCCUACGGGAGGCAGCAGUGGGGAAUCUUGCGCAAUGGGCGAAAGCCUGACGCAGCCAUGCCGCGUGAAUGAUGAAGGUCUUAGGAUUGUAAAAUUCUUUCACCGGGGACGAUAAUGACGGUACCCGGAGAAGAAGCCCCGGCUAACUUCGUG